GCAGCCUGGUAGCUCGUCGGGCUCAUAACCCGAAGGUCGUCGGUUCAAAUCCGGCCCCCGCAACCA
RNAcentral lists this transfer RNA (66 nucleotides) under Klebsiella aerogenes. Its description in RNAcentral is "tRNA-Met". It matches the Rfam family "tRNA", at positions 12 to 71 of the family's 71-position model. Rfam says of the family: Transfer RNA (tRNA) molecules are approximately 80 nucleotides in length. Their secondary structure includes four short double-helical elements and three loops (D, anti-codon, and T loops). Further hydrogen bonds mediate the characteristic L-shaped molecular structure. tRNAs have two regions of fundamental functional importance: the anti-codon, which is responsible for specific mRNA codon recognition, and the 3' end, to which the tRNAs corresponding amino acid is attached (by aminoacyl-tRNA synthetases). tRNAs cope with the degeneracy of the genetic code in two manners: having more than one tRNA (with a specific anti-codon) for a particular amino acid; and 'wobble' base-pairing, i.e. permitting non-standard base-pairing at the 3rd anti-codon position. RNAcentral also lists the same sequence under 6 other names. Lineage: Bacteria; Pseudomonadati; Pseudomonadota; Gammaproteobacteria; Enterobacterales; Enterobacteriaceae. The record is from RNAcentral.